This 2900-nucleotide ribosomal RNA is filed under the name Klebsiella pneumoniae. Its description in RNAcentral is "bacterial LSU rRNA". It matches the Rfam family "Bacterial large subunit ribosomal RNA". Lineage: Bacteria; Pseudomonadati; Pseudomonadota; Gammaproteobacteria; Enterobacterales; Enterobacteriaceae. The record is from RNAcentral.
UUAAGCGACUAAGCGUACACGGUGGAUGCCCUGGCAGUCAGAGGCGAUGAAGGACGUGCUAAUCUGCGAAAAGCGUCGGUAAGGUGAUAUGAACCGUUAUAACCGGCGAUGUCCGAAUGGGGAAACCCAGUGUGAUUCGUCACACUAUCGUUAACUGAAUACAUAGGUUAACGAGGCGAACCGGGGGAACUGAAACAUCUAAGUACCCCGAGGAAAAGAAAUCAACCGAGAUUCCCCCAGUAGCGGCGAGCGAACGGGGAGCAGCCCAGAGUCUGAAUCAGCUUGUGUGUUAGUGGAACGGUCUGGAAAGUCCGACGGUACAGGGUGAUAGUCCCGUACACCAAAAUGCACAGGUUGUGAACUCGAAGAGUAGGGCGGGACACGUGGUAUCCUGUCUGAAUAUGGGGGGACCAUCCUCCAAGGCUAAAUACUCCUGACUGACCGAUAGUGAACCAGUACCGUGAGGGAAAGGCGAAAAGAACCCCGGCGAGGGGAGUGAAAAAGAACCUGAAACCGUGUACGUACAAGCAGUGGGAGCACCUUCGGGUGUGACUGCGUACCUUUUGUAUAAUGGGUCAGCGACUUAUAUUCUGUAGCAAGGUUAACCGUAUAGGGGAGCCGCAGGGAAACCGAGUCUUAACUGGGCGUUAAGUUGCAGGGUAUAGACCCGAAACCCGGUGAUCUAGCCAUGGGCAGGUUGAAGGUUGGGUAACACUAACUGGAGGACCGAACCGACUAAUGUUGAAAAAUUAGCGGAUGACUUGUGGCUGGGGGUGAAAGGCCAAUCAAACCGGGAGAUAGCUGGUUCUCCCCGAAAGCUAUUUAGGUAGCGCCUCGUGAAUUCAUCUUCGGGGGUAGAGCACUGUUUCGGCUAGGGGGUCAUCCCGACUUACCAACCCGAUGCAAACUACGAAUACCGAAGAAUGUUAUCACGGGAGACACACGGCGGGUGCUAACGUCCGUCGUGAAGAGGGAAACAACCCAGACCGCCAGCUAAGGUCCCAAAGUCAUGGUUAAGUGGGAAACGAUGUGGGAAGGCACAGACAGCCAGGAUGUUGGCUUAGAAGCAGCCAUCAUUUAAAGAAAGCGUAAUAGCUCACUGGUCGAGUCGGCCUGCGCGGAAGAUGUAACGGGGCUAAACCAUGCACCGAAGCUGCGGCAGCGACACUAUGUGUUGUUGGGUAGGGGAGCGUUCUGUAAGCCUGCGAAGGUGACCUGUGAGGGUUGCUGGAGGUAUCAGAAGUGCGAAUGCUGACAUAAGUAACGAUAAAGCGGGUGAAAAGCCCGCUCGCCGGAAGACCAAGGGUUCCUGUCCAACGUUAAUCGGGGCAGGGUGAGUCGACCCCUAAGGCGAGGCCGAAAGGCGUAGUCGAUGGGAAACAGGUUAAUAUUCCUGUACUUGGUGUUACUGCGAAGGGGGGACGGAGAAGGCUAUGUUAGCCGGGCGACGGUUGUCCCGGUUUAAGCAUGUAGGCUGAUUGUCCAGGCAAAUCCGGAUAAUCAAGGCUGAGGUGUGAUGACGAGGCACUACGGUGCUGAAGUAACAAAUGCCCUGCUUCCAGGAAAAGCCUCUAAGCAUCAGGUAACAUUAAAUCGUACCCCAAACCGACACAGGUGGUCAGGUAGAGAAUACCAAGGCGCUUGAGAGAACUCGGGUGAAGGAACUAGGCAAAAUGGUGCCGUAACUUCGGGAGAAGGCACGCUGGUGUGUAGGUGAAGUCCCUGCGGAUGGAGCUGAGACCAGUCGAAGAUACCAGCUGGCUGCAACUGUUUAUUAAAAACACAGCACUGUGCAAACACGAAAGUGGACGUAUACGGUGUGACGCCUGCCCGGUGCCGGAAGGUUAAUUGAUGGGGUUAUCCGUAAGGAGAAGCUCUUGAUCGAAGCCCCGGUAAACGGCGGCCGUAACUAUAACGGUCCUAAGGUAGCGAAAUUCCUUGUCGGGUAAGUUCCGACCUGCACGAAUGGCGUAAUGAUGGCCAGGCUGUCUCCACCCGAGACUCAGUGAAAUUGAACUCGCUGUGAAGAUGCAGUGUACCCGCGGCAAGACGGAAAGACCCCGUGAACCUUUACUAUAGCUUGACACUGAACAUUGAGCCUUGAUGUGUAGGAUAGGUGGGAGGCUUUGAAGCGUGGACGCCAGUCUGCGUGGAGCCAACCUUGAAAUACCACCCUUUAAUGUUUGAUGUUCUAACGUUGGCCCCUGACCGGGGUUGCGGACAGUGUCUGGUGGGUAGUUUGACUGGGGCGGUCUCCUCCCAAAGCGUAACGGAGGAGCACGAAGGUUAGCUAAUCCUGGUCGGACAUCAGGAGGUUAGUGCAAUGGCAUAAGCUAGCUUGACUGCGAGCGUGACGGCGCGAGCAGGUGCGAAAGCAGGUCAUAGUGAUCCGGUGGUUCUGAAUGGAAGGGCCAUCGCUCAACGGAUAAAAGGUACUCCGGGGAUAACAGGCUGAUACCGCCCAAGAGUUCAUAUCGACGGCGGUGUUUGGCACCUCGAUGUCGGCUCAUCACAUCCUGGGGCUGAAGUAGGUCCCAAGGGUAUGGCUGUUCGCCAUUUAAAGUGGUACGCGAGCUGGGUUUAGAACGUCGUGAGACAGUUCGGUCCCUAUCUGCCGUGGGCGCUGGAGAAUUGAGGGGGGCUGCUCCUAGUACGAGAGGACCGGAGUGGACGCAUCACUGGUGUUCGGGUUGUCAUGCCAAUGGCACUGCCCGGUAGCUAAAUGCGGAAGAGAUAAGUGCUGAAAGCAUCUAAGCACGAAACUUGCCCCGAGAUGAGUUCUCCCUGAGACUUUAAGUCUCCUGAAGGAACGUUGAAGACGACGACGUUGAUAGGCCGGGUGUGUAAGCGCAGCGAUGCGUUGAGCUAACCGGUACUAAUGAACCGUGAGGCUUAACCUU